GCCGGUAUAGCUCAGCUGGUAGAGCAACUGACUUGUAAUCAGUAGGUCCCGGGUUCGACUCCUGGUGUCGGCACCA
RNAcentral lists this transfer RNA (76 nucleotides) under Pseudomonas aeruginosa. Its description in RNAcentral is "tRNA-Thr". It matches the Rfam family "tRNA". Rfam says of the family: Transfer RNA (tRNA) molecules are approximately 80 nucleotides in length. Their secondary structure includes four short double-helical elements and three loops (D, anti-codon, and T loops). The record is from RNAcentral. Lineage: Bacteria; Pseudomonadati; Pseudomonadota; Gammaproteobacteria; Pseudomonadales; Pseudomonadaceae.